This 87-nucleotide transfer RNA is filed under the name Nitrospirota bacterium. RNAcentral describes it as "Nitrospirae bacterium (groundwater metagenome) tRNA-Leu". It matches the Rfam family "tRNA". Rfam says of the family: Transfer RNA (tRNA) molecules are approximately 80 nucleotides in length. Their secondary structure includes four short double-helical elements and three loops (D, anti-codon, and T loops). Lineage: Bacteria; Pseudomonadati; Nitrospirota. The record is from RNAcentral.
GCCGAAGUGGCGGAAUUGGUAGACGCACCGUCUUGAGGGGGCGGCGGGGGUAACCCCGUGCGGGUUCGAGUCCCGCCUUCGGCACCA